This 1506-nucleotide long non-coding RNA is filed under the name Mus musculus (house mouse). Its description in RNAcentral is "long non-coding RNA chr1:55244348-55245854". The record is from RNAcentral. Lineage: Eukaryota; Metazoa; Chordata; Mammalia; Rodentia; Muridae.
UUAAUAAAUGGUAAGAUUAUAUGUGUACAAAAGGAUUGCUGUAAACUAAAUGUAUGAUUUAUCUUGUAAAUGUUUGGCAUGCAUAUACUAUUCAUGUAUAUCAGAGUCAUAUAAAAAUGUCUUGGCUGAAAAGGGAGUCACAUGGAGGGAGUUUAAGAAUCUGCUAAAGAUGAAAAGUAUCUUGUCAUAAAUUCAUAAGGGUAAUAAUAAGCAUCUUUGAAAUGACAUUUCCUCAAAACUUUAUAUAUUUAUCUUUAGUCAAUAGUCAAGUUUAUUUUAAUUAACUAUUAUAGUAACAAAGCUAGAGAAUUUACUAGAGGCCACAAACAGUGAAACUUUAUUUCAUACAUACAGUAUAAUACAAAUGAACAUAUUAAUAAAACUUACUCACUUACUAACAGUUUAAGUUCUAUGACAUCAUUCUUAUGACUUUCCUAAGAAGAUUGCAGAAACCAGGUCCUUUGGCUAUGGUUAUUACCCAUUAUCUAAAUGCCACAUACUGGGUAAUUAUUGAUAAAUUUUUAUUUCAUAGCAUAGUCAAUACAUUCUCAUCUCUUUAAACUAGUACCUAUUGUGAACUGCAAAAAAGAAAUACUGAGUAUUUAUAGCUGUUUUGUUAGAUGUGAGUUUCACUUCAAGGAAAUGGGAUGAGACCAUCUUUAUAUAGGUCUCAGCUCUUAAGAAAAAUGUAUUUUAAGAAAUCAAAUGUUUAAAAAUCCUUGUUAACUAGGAAGGCCAGGAAAUCUACAUUUUAAUUUUGGACUUAAAGUAAGUUCUUUAGGGUCUUAUUUGAAUAUAGACAGACGUUGGUUAGCAAGGGAUGAUGUUGUUAGGUUCUUCAAAAAAUGCACAGUAGGUCAUGAAUGGCCUGCUGACAGAACACCUUUAUAUGCCAGUUACUAGAGGAACUGUGAAAGCAUUCAUAACAUACAAACUUUCAAUCUUAGUAAACUAGAAUCAAUACACUGACGUUUAUAGUUAAAUUCCUAUAAAACGAAUUUUACAGAAACUUCCUAUGUUGUAUAUAAAAGCAGAUGUUUUUAGUGUUAAGUUGUAUUCUAGUUUCAUUGUGAAUUGCUUUUAAAAAAAUGCUGUAGAUUGAACCAGGGUCUUGUGCAUGUUAGGCAAACAUUCUACCAUUGAUCUAUACUUGCUAGCCAUUGUUUAUUUUUAACUCAUUAUUGGCAUCUAAUUAAAAUAAGCUUACUUUGAUAUUAUAGACGAAAUCUGAAAGUACUUAGGUUAGUUACUGAAAAUGUAUAUAGUUAGUUGCAUGAAAGAUGGUUGGUUGGAUUUUCAUGCCACUUUAAGGAUUUUUAUUUGGAUGCAAAGGAAACAUUUUUAACAUUCAUUGUGACAUUGUUUUAACCUAGUAUAAAAUAUUAAAAAUGGUUGCUUAGUGCUCAAGGGAAUUAUUAUUAUUUUUUUAGUUAAGCUAUUGUUCUAAUAAUAAGCCUCUGUAAUAUAACUAAUUCACACCAAAUUUUGAGUAAAAUAUUUUUGGAU